UACAUAUAAUUACAGUAUAUUUCUUACCAUGUAUCAUGAUCAAAAGUGUUUGAAACCUUCCAACAAGCUGCAUUGAAGAGACACUGCUUGAAAGAUUCCUGAGCCUGGGUCACAGACACUUUGGAGCCAGUGGGAAAGUAGGGAGUGUCUCUAGGGAACACAGAUAUGCCCAAUAUUUUGCACACAAUGUUGAUAGUCCACAGACUUUGCAGCCCAUCCACAGACCCUGGUCAAAUUCUCUAACCUGGAGAUUAAGGUCAGGAGGGAGAAAGGGAGACAGAGGAGAGAGCAAGGCUCAUGCAUUAGUCAGAUUUUCCAUUACUGGGACAAAAUAUUUGACACCCACAACUUAAAGGGUAAAAGGGUAACUCAUGACUUGUGCUUUCAGAGGUUUCAGUCCAUGGUUGGCUGGCUUCAGGGCAGAAACAUCAUGGCAUAAAGUGUAAGGAAGCAACCUGUUCAUCUCAUUGCCACCAAGAAGCAGAGAAAGAGGGGAAGAGCCAAAGGAAAUUAUACCCUUCCAAGGCACAUUCCCAGGGACCUACAUCCUCCAACCAGGCUCCACCUCCUCAGAGCAGUUCCGCUAUGAAGUCAUCAAUGGGUUCAUCCACUGAUGAGCUUAGUGCCCCCUGAUCCAGUCACCUUCCAAAAGCCCCACCUGUGAACACAUGAGCCUUUUAGGGGAAACUUUUGAUCCAAACCAUAAGUCUGGCUCCUGGAGCCUUACAUUUCUGAUGAGAACUAGGCCAUCCAUCUCCCGGGGCAUCCUCGAGGCCUCCAAGGACAAGGAGUUCCUGAUCCAGUUCGAAUUUUGGGAAGAGUAUGCUGGGAACUCUCAGAUGCCAGGACUCCAUGCGGUGGCCUUGUCACAGACAUGUGGUAUGGUAGAAGACUGUAGAUGGGGCACAGUUGGGAGAAGUUUUCAAGAGGGCUGGUGCUGGAGUAAAGGAAGCUGAGGGAAGGCUUGGAUUUGUUACAGAAAAAAGCCAUCUUGCAUUCAUUUGGGCCACCUCAUUUCAAAACAUGGAACUGACAGGACAAGUGCUGUGAAUGCAGAGUCAGCUUGUACUGGAUCUCAGUCAAUGGGGGAAAUACAGGGAGACUGCAAGCUGGCAACAGCCCAGGCAGUGGGGUACUAAGGCAGCAGGCCUAUGUCUUCCCUGGGGCAGGAAAGGCAGGGUGUAGAGAAUUUAAAACCAAGAAUAAAACCAACCAACUAUUGAGUCUACUUUUCAUUAUCACCAUGAACAUUGAACAUUAGAAAAUAUCUGUUAAAAAAUGGUCAUCCCCAUGCCCCUCCCAAAAUUGUGUGUGUAUGUGUUCUACAUUCUAAACAAUUGAUACAGUUACAGUUUACUUAUUUUACUUAAUAAAGUCAAUAAACUUACAUGUACUGACAUAAUAUAUAUAGUACAAUCUCUAAUAUAUACUGUUAAGUGAACUAAACAGUAUGCAGAACACUUAAACUAUUUUAAAAGGUGGCAUAUAUAAAAACAUUUAUUACACUACAUGACACAUUGCUAUUAAUUCCCAUCAUUACAAACACACUUAUCCUGUCAUUCCUGCCACUUCUGAAGCAGUUCUAGAAGUCCUCUUUCCUGAGAGUCUUUACUAGUGCCGUGGUGACUGACUCAAUAUCCUGCAGAUUCAGAACCUUUACCUUUCUUGGUCACACAUGACUUUGGGGAAGAGCCAAAAAUCUUAUAGCACCAGAUCCAGUGAAUAAAGUGGAUGAAGACACACUGUGAUGUUUUUAUCAGCUUGCCUUUCCAAUGGAUGGCAAGCAUCAUUCCCUGUAUUUUUUAUUAUAUCGCAUAAAGAUGCUAAAGAGAACUUCCAGAACUGCUUCAGAAAGGGCAAGAACAAUGGGGUAAGUAUGUCUGAAGUAACAGGGAGUGUUUUGAAGAGAAUUAAUGGCAAUGUGUCUUUUACUGUAAUACUGUGUUAUGUAAACACACACCAUAGUUUUUGAUUAGCACUUAUACAUACACAUUAAUAGAGUAUCUUUACACAUUAAUAGAGUAUCUCCUCAAGGACUUUACACAUUAAUAGAGUAUCUCCUCAAGAACAUAAAGAACUCUGCAGACUUAAAGAAUGAUAACACAUGAUUCUAAAGUAGAGGAACCAUUUUGAUUCUUUUAGUAUGUGUCACUAUUUAGAAAUUUUAUGCCAAAAAUUUUAAUAUAGUGCAGCAGAGUAUGAAUUGCAAAAUGCAAUAUUUUUAUUUGGUAAAUGCAACUUUUGGUUCCUAUGGAAAAUGUUUUACGAAUCUGAGCAACAUUUUUAACACUGGCAUUGAUUUUUCUUGCUAAAUUGUUAGUUGUUCAUUUUAAAGUGAAAGAGCACCUCGGAGGGGAACAGCUACAAUGUUAUAUGUUUCUCACAUGAAUGAUUUUGUGGCAUGGUAGAGUGUGAAAUGAUCUGCUCUGGGUAUCUGAUAGGAAUUUGGAUUUUAAUCAGAAUUUAAAAGUGCUUUUGGACAUUAUUUUAAUUUUAUUCACACAAGAAUUGCUUGGAGGAACAAUUUAAUCAGCACUGGUAAAUCGGUCACUUUUAGGGCCAUUCUAGAUGGCUUUGAGGGAUCUCAGGAGAACCCAUCUUAUUAAUCUUACUAGUGACACACUCAUUCUGUUUUCUAAUACCAGGAAGUUCUUAUUUACUGAUACUGCAAUUCCUAGGGGAGGGCGAGAUCUUCUUAUUCCAUAAAUGAGCAGCUGAACAAAUAAAUGUUGUGAUGGAGGCAUCUCAGCCAAUGGAGCAGGGAAGCUCUGUGACAUACAGGUGAGGUCCCAGGCAGGGAAGCUCUGGGAAGGGAGGAUUUGAAGAGCCCCGUAGGAAUUUGAAGAUCUGAGAUUCGGCAGGUAGCUUCUCCCUGGUGAGGGAGGGGUAUGAAAGACCAGGAAUAAACAGCAAGACCCCCUCCUUCUUCCUAAGGAGAACCCUGUAUUCCUUCAGGUAGGCUGGCUGUGCCACAGGACAGGAAGGCAAAGCUGCUUCAUGCUAAGUAUGACAGGUCUUCCUUCCUCUCUCUCCUCAGCAAGCCUAGCUUCCUAUCAGUGCUUCCCCAACCUCCUGUCUGUAGCUCUGUGAGUGGAGGCCUCCUUUUGUAGCAGAAUUUCCCACUGACUGGGUGCAGGUCCCAGCUGUGCUACUUUAUCACCACCAACCUAGUUUCAGGGGGGGGUUACUGCAGCCUUGUGUCCCUGGCAUCAUCUCCUGCUUCAUCCUAGUGGGACACACAAACACCAUUCUGUGUGAGUGUCAUUUUGUUCAGAAGGUGGAGAACUGUCCCGGGGACAAAGACUAUAUUGUUCCCAGUUGCUUGGCAGAAAGGGACGUGUUCGGUGUGGAUGAGGAAAAGAUUCUGUGAUCUGUUUGAUUCCUUGGUGAAAACGAUCUUUGGUGGCGCUGUUGCUUCUGGGUUAAUGUGAGUGUUUUGCAACUCGGCAUCUUGUGGGGAGCACAUGGCCAGCUGGAAAUGUCCUCUUGUGAUUCGAAGCCCAGCUGCUGUUGCUGGCCGUAGCUUGGGGCUAUCUUCAGCCUCCCUACCAGCCUCUCCACCAGCCUCUCCAUGUUCUCUUGCUUCAAGAAUCACACAGAUACAGCCGAGCCAUACACGGACUUUCUUUUUCUUCUGAAAACACAGAGUGGGCUCUGUAGCUUCAGUUCCAAGAUUGUCUGGGCCCAUUUCUGAGAGCUAGCACCAGCUGUGCCCAAGAGUAAUGGCAACGGUCUACAGUAGUUGUCAAAUUGUGACAUACAAGUGAGGUCCCAGUGAGUGACUCCUUCUGCGGAUUUACAGCUGGGAUGAAGCCACCCAGGCCUCAUUCACAAUGUGUCCAGGUCUCCUGUUCUGCUCCCACCAGCAAUGAGUGGAACCUUAGAGACACAGAGUGUGGUGGCCAGGGACAAACUGUGGCUUGUAAGGUGCAGUCAGUCAAUGAACAUUAGUCAAAUGUCUUUUGGUUCAGGAGCUGUGACCUGGGUGUGCAGGGCCCAACAAGAUAAUGAGAAAAGUUCCUAGCAAAGCGCAAAUCUUCUGCAAGCAAAAGCUGAAGUGUGCUGAAGUUAGAAAGAUGGUUAUGUAAAGGGAAAUGUGUAACCAUGUCUAUCUUCCAUGUUCGUAAGGGUGCUAGUCUAAUUCUGCCUAUCCUAGAGGAUCUGCUUCCAACAUCCCAAGGGCCCCAGGCAAAAGCACCCAUGAAGUCCUGCCCUUGUCUGGAUAUUUAGGAACAUAAAUCAAGCCCACAGACAGUUACAUAAAAUAUGAUCUGUUUUCAUACUUAUAAAAUGUAUAUUCAUAUACUUUUUCAUAUAUUCAUAUAUUUCAAGACAAACUUGAAAAAUGUAUAAAGCUAUAGCUUCUACAUGACCAAAAGUUGGCAAAUAACAAAGAUGACUGAAUUAAUU
Molecule: long non-coding RNA, 4410 nt
Organism: Chinchilla lanigera (long-tailed chinchilla)
Lineage: Eukaryota; Metazoa; Chordata; Mammalia; Rodentia; Chinchillidae
Source: Ensembl